GGAAGAGAGGAUUGAACCAAUGGCAGCCCUCGCUGCCUCGUCAGCCGCAGCGGUGGGUUUGGCAGGAGGAACCUCAGCUCAGUCAAAGGCCAGGCAGGCUUUGAAGCGUCAGCUUCAGCGUCUGCUCCAGUGUAAGCUUCAGCGUAGGGUCCACGCGCCCGGGGUUCAUUCGCCAGUAGCUUCAGCCUCGUCCGAUGAAGUCUCGGAGAAUGAAGUCACUGCAGUCGGCCGUUGCAGUCAGCUGGGGCGGGCACGGGAGGCGCGGGACUCGCACUCGCUUUCGUCUUUGGAGGCCCGGAACCCUGCCUCUGCUCUGCCAGGUCUGUCUAAUCUUCUCAGACGUGUGGCCGUUGCUCUGCCGGGUCCAGAGAUGCUAUGCUAGCUUCACAGACAUGUGGCCUAACCAUUCUUCCAAACCCUUGCUAAACUCUACCAGACACAGGUUCCGGCAGCUGUCCGACCGACUCGCCGAGACCAAACUCCUUCAUCGGAUCUUUGGCAUCAACUUGGACUUACUUGACUCUUGUUCUGCCAAAUGAAAUGUACUGUGUAACUCUGCCGAGUCCAUUAAAA
Long non-coding RNA from Limanda limanda (common dab), 573 nucleotides. RefSeq lists it as uncharacterized. The record is from RefSeq and is a predicted model, not a curated record. The transcript has 3 exons. Lineage: Eukaryota; Metazoa; Chordata; Actinopteri; Pleuronectiformes; Pleuronectidae.